AUUUUGAUAUUGUCUUUUUAAAUUCCACGCAUUCCUCUUCCUUGUCACAGCCUGGCCUACAUUACCCACAAUGCAACUCAGCUGCU
Long non-coding RNA from Etheostoma cragini (Arkansas darter), 86 nucleotides. RefSeq lists it as uncharacterized. NCBI's taxonomy places the organism in Eukaryota, Metazoa, Chordata, Actinopteri, Perciformes, Percidae. The record is from RefSeq and is a predicted model, not a curated record. The transcript has 3 exons.